This 451-nucleotide ribosomal RNA is filed under the name uncultured bacterium. RNAcentral describes it as "bacterial SSU rRNA". It matches the Rfam family "Bacterial small subunit ribosomal RNA", at positions 330 to 795 of the family's 1533-position model. The record is from RNAcentral.
CCCAGACUCCUACGGGAGGCAGCAGUGGGGAAUAUUGGGCAAUGGGCGCAAGCCUGACCCAGCAACGCCGCGUGAAGGAAGAAGGCUUUCGGGUUGUAAACUUCUUUUAUUCGGGACGAAGAAAGUGACGGUACCGAAUGAAUAAGCCACGGCUAACUACGUGCCAGCAGCCGCGGUAAUACGUAGGUGGCAAGCGUUAUCCGGAUUUAUUGGGUGUAAAGGGCGUGUAGGCGGGAAUGCAAGUCAGAUGUGAAAACUCAGGGCUCAACCCUGAGCCUGCAUUUGAAACUGUAUUUCUUGAGUGCUGGAGAGGCAAUCGGAAUUCCGUGUGUAGCGGUGAAAUGCGUAGAUAUACGGAGGAACACCAGUGGCGAAGGCGGAGUGCUGGACAGUAACUGACGCUGAGGCGCGAAAGCGUGGGGAGCAAACAGGAUUAGAUACCCGGGUAGCA